GGCGGCGGCCAUUUUGUGCCGGGAGUCCGGAGGAAGAGGACGCUGUCUUGUCUCCGCGCUCGACGGGCCCUGACGCUAACCGAGCCGCUCUCGGCCCCGCGAACCAAUCCCGGCCGGAUCUCUAGCCUCCCCGCCCCCUCCCCCGGGAAGUGAGGCGGCCAAGGGCGACUCCGCCGGGACACAACUGCCGCCGCCGGCCGAGCCCCCCGCCCCGCCCCCAGCUCGCGCCCCUCGGUGCCCCCUCUGCGGGAAAAUGCGAGGCUUCGGAGACCGGGGCCGCGACCGUGACCGCGGCGGGUUUGGUAGUCCUCUGCCCCCAAAGAAAUUUGGUAAUCCAGGGGAGCGUCUACGCAAAAAGAAGUGGGACCUGAAUGAGCUGCCCAAAUUUGAGAAGAACUUUUAUGUGGAGCAUCCAGAAGUGGCCAGGCUAACCCCCUAUGAAGUUGAAGAACUGCGACGAAAGAAAGAGAUUACCGUUAGGGGGACAGAUGCCUGCCCCAAACCUGUUUUUGCCUUCCACCAUGCUAACUUCCCACAAUAUGUAAUGGAUGUCUUGAUCGAUCAGAAUUUCACAGAACCCACUCCAAUUCAGUGCCAGGGCUUCCCAUUGGCCCUCAGUGGCAGAGACAUGGUGGGCAUCGCUCAGACAGGCUCCGGGAAGACCUUGGCAUACUUGCUGCCUGCAAUUGUUCACAUUAAUCACCAGCCAUACUUGGAGAGGGGAGAUGGUCCAAUUUGUUUGGUUCUAGCUCCUACCAGAGAGCUGGCCCAGCAAGUCCAGCAGGUGGCUGAUGAUUAUGGCAAAUGCUCAAGACUUAAGAGUACCUGCAUAUAUGGAGGGGCACCCAAAGGUCCCCAAAUCCGAGACCUGGAGAGAGGUGUUGAGAUCUGCAUUGCCACACCUGGCCGCUUGAUUGACUUCCUGGAGGCAGGAAAGACCAACCUUCGCCGAUGUACAUACCUUGUGCUGGAUGAAGCGGAUAGGAUGUUGGAUAUGGGCUUUGAACCCCAAAUUCGUAAAAUUGUUGACCAGAUAAGGCCUGACCGGCAAACUCUGAUGUGGAGUGCCACUUGGCCAAAGGAAGUGCGCCAGCUUGCUGAGGAUUUUCUGCGUGACUAUGUUCAAAUCAACGUGGGCAACCUGGAGCUGAGUGCUAACCACAACAUCCUGCAAAUAGUGGAUGUAUGCAUGGAGAGCGAGAAGGACCAUAAACUAAUUCAACUGAUGGAAGAAAUCAUGGCUGAGAAAGAGAACAAAACUAUCAUAUUUGUUGAGACAAAAAGACGAUGUGAUGACCUCACUCGAAGAAUGCGCAGAGAUGGCUGGCCAGCUAUGUGUAUCCAUGGAGACAAGAGUCAGCCAGAAAGAGACUGGGUACUUAACGAAUUCCGUUCUGGAAAGGCUCCUAUCCUCAUCGCUACAGAUGUUGCAUCUCGUGGGCUAGUCUCUUCCUGCUCCUAAUGAACAGGCUUUGGUCUGCAGCAAGGCCUAGGCAUGACUAAUCGAUCGCCAAGAGGGAGAAGAGACGUCCAAUUAUGCAACCCAAUCCUUCCACUGCACCCCUUCCUCCCCACUUCCAGCUUUUUGUGGCUGGAUGGCUAGGGCUGGAUUGCUCCCAAUUUACAGAGGGGAUCAGAUAAAAGUUGAAAUAGAGUCGUGUGGGAGAGUAGUUCAACAUAUAAUAAUUAACAAUACAUAGGUGAUAUAUACAAAUAAAUCCCUGCAUACACAUAAUUUUCCCAUCAGAUGUGCUCACAUCUGGGAAAGCAUUGCUCCAGCUUUUCUAUUUUCACAAAUAGCCUUCCCGGCUCUGUGUUGGUUGUAGGCAGGUUCUAUUAUAUGCCUUCAACAUAUACUGUCCAAGUGUUGUGUUGGAUCAGAAUUACAUAGAUCAUUUUCACAUCAGUGAAAUAAACUUUCUGGAUGCAUAAGUUAAAACACCCCCUUUUAAUAAGUAUAUUUGUAGUAUGAAACCUUUGUGUUUAAACAUUAACCUUUCUCCCUUUUACAUUUGCCCAGUGUAAGUUUAGAAAUAUUCUAAAGCAAUUUGGGUCCGUCUGCAUUCUUACACUUCCCAGACGUGGCAAAGACCAUUCCUGAGGGCCAUAUACCAGAGUUAGUGCCUCAGUGGUCUGAUCCAUUGUGGCAAAUCUUAAAGUAAAACUAUUGCAAGUGAUCCAUCAAGAAGCACAGAGGGAAAUUCUGUGAUUACAGAAGAGUUUUAGUUAUUUGAAACUGUUUUUUAUAUCCUGAAAGGGUGGCUGUACUGAGCAUCUCAAGGUCAUUUAAAUGUUGGCAAACUAGUGUGAGACUUGGCAGCCUUCAUUCACAUAACCUUCACCCCACCCCCACCCCCAAAAUUGUCCAACACUUCCUCUAAGAGGUGAUCAUAUGGACUUCAGUCUCUGCCCUCUAGGGUCAUGUCUGGACCUGUGCAGUUAGAACUUGGGCCUGUUGGGAGAAGGGACUGAGGCCGGAAACUAGUUUUUAUGAAAGAGAGCUGCUUUCUGUAGCAGUGUUUUUUUUAAACAGGCUUGCUAUGUGCUGGUAGCUUCUUUGUGCAUCUUGCCUAGACAUUUAAAACCGCCCCACCCCCAAAAAUGCUUCCCCAAAACAACUCAAUUGGAUACCUCUCGAGAAAACACUCUCCCCCUUCCCCACUUCACCCAAGCUAUGGGGGAAAGGUACCAUAGUCUGUUUCUUGUUACUAAACAACAUCUCUGCUUGUUUUGGGGCCCUGAGUUUGCUGCUUUUUAAAAUAAAGUCACUUAACUGGCAAACUUCUGGACGACUUCCUCCAAGAUCCUGGAAAGUGAAGGCUGCUACAUAAAUAACUUAAAACAGGGGUGCGCGCUUUUUGGCUGAGUCACCAGGGCUUUCCCUCAUCCCAAUGGAAUAUUGGUUUCCAAAAAGCUCCUUCCAGGUAAGUUCUGGGUCCCAUAAUAACUUCUUUGUGAUAAUCUCCAGGAGAGAGGUCCUCCUUCUGCACUGAUUUUUUUUAUUUAUUUAUUUAUUUUUGUUACUCUUCACUCUGUUAAACUAAAAACAUUGAAUUUAUUUUGUUUUGUUUUCUUUAACAGAAGCUUUGAUAUCAGCUGCAGAUCAUUCUCAGUGCAGGGUCGGGGGCAUAUCUGCACUGGUGGUCGAAGCAGCUCUCUAGACAAGCAUGUCUGCUAGUUUAUAUCACUCCUGAUUAACAGUCAGAGACUUGAUCUGUGCCAUAGGGUAUUCUGGUUGUCUGACAAAGGGUGCGUUUCCCAGGCAGCUGGCCAGAUCACUUUUACAAUUUGAUCUUGCUUCAGUAUCUUCUAAAAGCGCAGGAAGAUUGUGACUGUGCACAAAUACAUUGGAGCAUGCUAGACUGGAGAAACCAAAUCUUGUACUUGCUCUGAUCUUUCUUCAGCCUGAUAUGUGCACAUACAGGACCACCUUUUUAAUCUGGAGAACAUCCCCUGCCUUUUCUGGCCUUCCCCUCAAAAAAAUCAAGUCAGCAGUGUCUGUGCUAUUAGCUACAAUUCCGGGUGCUUUCUGCCAGGAAAGCGCUUCCCUGUAUCCACUUGGUAAUUCAACUCGCUUUGCUGCUCAUGGAUGUGCGGAAUGGGAUUGGCUAAGGAUCACGUAGCCUGCUGCUUGUCAGACUCUAGUUAAACUCUGGCAGUGAAGAUGUGAUUGUGCCGAUCAUAUUUUCCCCUCCCUUACCUUACACUUUUCCCAUUAAAAUAUUUUGUUAUUGCACCAAGGACCCUAGUUGGAGACUCGCGCAGCCCCCUGUGAAAUCUGCCUUCUCACCCCCUUUUUGGUGUGAUUCAGGACUUUGGAGUCAGCAAAGAAUAAGGGGACCCCUUUGCUGUAAUAAGAAACAGACAUAAAGUCCCCUCUUGCCACUACAAACCCCUUGUUUUUAUUUUCUCCCUGUCCCCUCUUUGAAAUUGAUGAAGUCUGGGCAAUAGAUGCAGUCUGACCCUUUGGAUAUAAUUUUUGUAUCUUCAUUUUUUUGACAUUCGCCCCUAUUAACCCCGGGUGGGGCCAAAAAGCGUUGGAGGACCUGAAAUUUUUACCUGAACCCAGGUUCUCCGGCACUUCACAACCAAAUGGGGCUACAGAGAAGCAUCUAAGCCAGUUCACAGAGCGAGCGUGUGUGGGGACUUCUCGCUGCCAUGGACCCUUGAUGCAUGCUCCCCGCGCUCCAGUGGUCCCGUGUCAGAGGGCGGAGUUUUCGAAAGGAGGCCGCCAAAAAUAAAAGGCAAAGAGACGGGAUCGGCUGCAGCGGUUUCCCACAGGAGGAGGGAGUGUGCAUCGGUCUGAUGUGGAAGACGUUAAGUUUGUGAUAAACUACGACUAUCCGAACAGCUCUGAGGAUUAUGUGCACCGAAUUGGCCGCACUGCCCGUAGCAC
RNA transcript from Malaclemys terrapin pileata, 4396 nucleotides. It is a transcript of the gene named DEAD-box helicase 17, with no coding region annotated. NCBI's taxonomy places the organism in Eukaryota, Metazoa, Chordata, Testudines, Emydidae. The record is from RefSeq and is a predicted model, not a curated record. The transcript has 13 exons.